This 696-nucleotide ribosomal RNA is filed under the name Staphylococcus aureus. RNAcentral's name for it is "bacterial SSU rRNA". It matches the Rfam family "Bacterial small subunit ribosomal RNA", at positions 220 to 907 of the family's 1533-position model. The record is from RNAcentral. Lineage: Bacteria; Bacillati; Bacillota; Bacilli; Caryophanales; Staphylococcaceae.
UAUAGAUGGAUCCGCGCUGCAUUAGCUAGUUGGUAAGGUAACGGCUUACCAAGGCAACGAUGCAUAGCCGACCUGAGAGGGUGAUCGGCCACACUGGAACUGAGACACGGUCCAGACUCCUACGGGAGGCAGCAGUAGGGAAUCUUCCGCAAUGGGCGAAAGCCUGACGGAGCAACGCCGCGUGAGUGAUGAAGGUCUUCGGAUCGUAAAACUCUGUUAUUAGGGAAGAACAUAUGUGUAAGUAACUGUGCACAUCUUGACGGUACCUAAUCAGAAAGCCACGGCUAACUACGUGCCAGCAGCCGCGGUAAUACGUAGGUGGCAAGCGUUAUCCGGAAUUAUUGGGCGUAAAGCGCGCGUAGGCGGUUUUUUAAGUCUGAUGUGAAAGCCCACGGCUCAACCGUGGAGGGUCAUUGGAAACUGGAAAACUUGAGUGCAGAAGAGGAAAGUGGAAUUCCAUGUGUAGCGGUGAAAUGCGCAGAGAUAUGGAGGAACACCAGUGGCGAAGGCGACUUUCUGGUCUGUAACUGACGCUGAUGUGCGAAAGCGUGGGGAUCAAACAGGAUUAGAUACCCUGGUAGUCCACGCCGUAAACGAUGAGUGCUAAGUGUUAGGGGGUUUCCGCCCCUUAGUGCUGCAGCUAACGCAUUAAGCACUCCGCCUGGGGAGUACGACCGCAAGGUUGAAACUCAAAGG